UAAUUGCUAAGAUGUGAAGAAAAAUUGUUUU
RNAcentral lists this non-coding RNA (31 nucleotides) under Mus musculus (house mouse). The record is from RNAcentral. Lineage: Eukaryota; Metazoa; Chordata; Mammalia; Rodentia; Muridae.